RNAcentral lists this ribosomal RNA (397 nucleotides) under [Eubacterium] saphenum. RNAcentral describes it as "bacterial SSU rRNA". It matches the Rfam family "Bacterial small subunit ribosomal RNA", at positions 32 to 410 of the family's 1533-position model. Lineage: Bacteria; Bacillati; Bacillota; Clostridia; Peptostreptococcales; Anaerovoracaceae. The record is from RNAcentral.
AACGCUGGCGGCGUGCUUAACACAUGCAAGUCGAGCGAGAAACUACAUGCAGACACUUCGGUAGAAGCGAGUAGCGGAAAGCGGCGGACGGGUGAGUAACGCGUAGGCAACCUGCCCUUCACAGAGGUAUAGCCUCGGGAAACCGGGAUUAAAACCACAUAAAAUCAUAGGUUCGCAUGAACCAAAGGUCAAAGAUUUAUCGGUGAAGGAUGGGCCUGCGUCUGAUUAGCUGGUUGGUAGGGUAAAAGCCUACCAAGGCGACGAUCAGUAGCCGACCUGAGAGGGUGAUCGGCCACAUUGGAACUGAGACACGGUCCAAACUCCUACGGGAGGCAGCAGUGGGGGAUAUUGCACAAUGGGGGAAACCCUGAUGCAGCAAACGCCCGCCUGAGGUAUG